GACGAACGCUGGCGGCGUGCUUAACACAUGCAAGUCGAACGGAAAGGCCCUGCUUUUGUGGGGUGCUCGAGUGGCGAACGGGUGAGUAACACGUGAGUAACCUGCCCUUGACUUUGGGAUAACUUCAGGAAACUGGGGCUAAUACCGGAUAGGAGCUCCUGCUGCAUGGUGGGGGUUGGAAAGUUUCGGCGGUUGGGGAUGGACUCGCGGCUUAUCAGCUUGUUGGUGGGGUAGUGGCUUACCAAGGCUUUGACGGGUAGCCGGCCUGAGAGGGUGACCGGUCACAUUGGGACUGAGAUACGGCCCAGACUCCUGCGGGAGGCAGCAGUGGGGAAUAUUGCACAAUGGGCGGAAGCCUGAUGCAGCAACGCCGCGUGCGGGAUGACGGCCUUCGGGUUGUAAACCGCUUUCGCCUGUGACGAAGCGUGAGUGACGGUAAUGGGUAAAGAAGCACCGGCUAACUACGUG
RNAcentral lists this ribosomal RNA (468 nucleotides) under uncultured bacterium. RNAcentral's name for it is "partial 16S ribosomal RNA". It matches the Rfam family "Bacterial small subunit ribosomal RNA", at positions 28 to 507 of the family's 1533-position model. The record is from RNAcentral.